AAAACUCUUCCCGUAUCGUUUGUUAUGUUAUCUAGAAACCGUGCACUUGAUAUGUAUACCCCCUUUUUGUUACACCGUGUAUAAGACCUAAUUAACAUAAAAUAAGGAAAACCUGAAUACCCACGAUGCCACAACAGAAACGACAAAUUUAAUUUAUUUGAGGACGACAUUAUAAGAUCAUCUUUUAUAAUAACAACUCGUGCGCAGCUAAAUAAAUCAUGAAGAUACUUUUUAAUUUGUUUCUAAUCUUCGUGCUAAGCAUUGUGUUGACAAGUGCGCGAACGAAUAAACGCGGUAGGCGUCCGGCCGUUCAGAAAUGUGCGCACCGGACGGCACCGGCAUCAAGUGUACACCACUCAUACCACAGACGAAAUACAAAGAUAUUUUGACAAAACAAAAAAACGAAAAUUAUCAAAACGGCGCGGACAUGGAAACGAAAAUCUGAAAAUUAGUUUUAAUUUUAAAUAAAUAUUUGGGCAACAUAA
This is a long non-coding RNA of Spodoptera frugiperda (fall armyworm), 485 nucleotides long. RefSeq lists it as uncharacterized. The transcript is spliced from 2 exons. The record is from RefSeq and is a predicted model, not a curated record. Lineage: Eukaryota; Metazoa; Arthropoda; Insecta; Lepidoptera; Noctuidae.